GGAUUAGAUACCCUGGUAGUCCACGCCGUAAACGAUGAUCACUAGACGUCAGUCGGGCUUGCCCGAUUGGUGUCGUAGCUAACGCGCUAAGUGGUCCGCCUGGGGAGUACGGUCGCAAGAUUAAAACUCAAAGGAAUUGACGGGGGUCCGCACAAGCGGUGGAACAUGUGGUUUAAUUCGACAAUACGCGAGGAACCUUACCUGGGUUUGACAUGUAUUUGACAAUUAUAGAGAUAUAAUCUUCGAAGCUUGCUUUGACAGAUGCACAGGUGCUGCAUGGCUGUCGUCAGCUCGUGCCG
This 299-nucleotide ribosomal RNA is filed under the name uncultured bacterium. RNAcentral describes it as "partial 16S ribosomal RNA". It matches the Rfam family "Bacterial small subunit ribosomal RNA", at positions 775 to 1067 of the family's 1533-position model. The record is from RNAcentral.